RNAcentral lists this ribosomal RNA (705 nucleotides) under Bacillus subtilis. RNAcentral describes it as "bacterial SSU rRNA". It matches the Rfam family "Bacterial small subunit ribosomal RNA", at positions 62 to 749 of the family's 1533-position model. Lineage: Bacteria; Bacillati; Bacillota; Bacilli; Caryophanales; Bacillaceae. The record is from RNAcentral.
CUGAGCGGAAGAUGGGAGCUUGCGUCCCCAAAGUUGGCGACGGACGGAUGAGUAACACGUGGGUAACCUGCCUGUAAGACUGGGAUAACUCCGGGAGACCGGGGCUAAUACCGGAUGGUUGUUUGAACCGCAUGGUUCAAACAUCAAAGGUGGCUUCGGCUACCACUUACAGAUGGACCGGCGGCGCAUUAGCUAGUUGGUGAGGUUACGGCUCACCACGGCAACGAUGUGUAGCCGACCUGAGAGGGUGAUCGGCCACACUGGGACUGAGACACGGCCCAGACUAAUACGGGAGGCAGCAGAAGGUAAUCUUCCGCAAUGGACGAAAGUCUGACGUAGCAACGCCGCGUGAGUGAUGAAGGUUUUCGGAUCGUAAAGCUCUGUUGUUAGAGGAAGAACAAGUACCGUUCGUUUAUGGCGGUACCUUGACGGAACCUAACCACAAAGCAACUGCUAACUACGUGCCAGCAGCCGCGGUAAUACGUAGGUGUCAAGCGUAAUCCGGAAUUAUUGCGCGUAAAGGGCUCGCAGGCGGUUUCUUAUGUCUGAUGUGAAAGCUCCCGGCUCAACCUGGAAGGGCAUUGGUAACUGGGAAACUUGAGUGCAGAAGAGGAGAGUGAAAUUCCACGUUUAGCGGUGAAAUGCGUGAGAGAUGUGAAGGAACGCAAGUGGCGAAGUCUCUUCUCUGGUCUGUACUGACGCUGA